GCCUGGUUAGCUCAGAUGGUAGAGCAUCAGACUUUUAAUCUGAGUGUCAUGGGUUCGAGCCCCAUAUCGGGCG
This 73-nucleotide transfer RNA is filed under the name Nematostella vectensis (starlet sea anemone). RNAcentral describes it as "tRNA-Lys". It matches the Rfam family "tRNA". Rfam says of the family: Transfer RNA (tRNA) molecules are approximately 80 nucleotides in length. Their secondary structure includes four short double-helical elements and three loops (D, anti-codon, and T loops). Lineage: Eukaryota; Metazoa; Cnidaria; Anthozoa; Actiniaria; Edwardsiidae. The record is from Rfam by way of RNAcentral.